Molecule: ribosomal RNA, 939 nt
Filed under: uncultured bacterium
Lineage: Bacteria
Description: bacterial SSU rRNA
Rfam family: Bacterial small subunit ribosomal RNA
Source: RNAcentral
AACGUACGCUGGCGGCACGCCUAACACAUGCAAGUCGAACGAAGUAGCAAUACUUAGUGGCAGACGGGUGAGUAACAUGUGGGUAUCUGCCCUUUGGCCUGGAAUAACACGAGGAAACUUGUGCUAAUACCGGAUAAGUCUUUACGGAGAAAGCUUUAUGCACCAUUGGAUGAGCCCGCACUUGAUUAGUUAGUUGGUAGGGUAAUGGCCUACCAAGACUGUGAUCAAUAGCUGAUUUGAGAGGAUGAUCAGCCACAUUGGGACUGAGACACGGCCCAAACUCCUACGGGAGGCAGCAGUGGGGAAUCUUGCACAAUGGAGGAAACUCUGAUGCAGCGAUGCCGCGUGAGUGAAGAAGGCCUUUGGGUUGUAAAGCUCUUUCGUCGGGGAAGAAAAUGACUGUACCCGAAUAAGAAGGUCCGGCUAACUUCGUGCCAGCAGCCGCGGUAAUACGAAGGGACCUAGCGUAGUUCGGAAUUACUGGGCUUAAAGAGUUCGUAGGUGGUUGAAAAAGUUGGUGGUGAAAUCCCAGAGCUUAACUCUGGAACUGCCAUCAAAACUUUUCAGCUAGAGUAUGAUAGAGGAAAGCAGAAUUUCUAGUGUAGAGGUGAAAUUCGUAGAUAUUAGAAAGAAUACCGAUUGCGAAGGCAGCUUUCUGGAUCAUUACUGACACUGAGGAACGAAAGCAUGGGUAGCGAGGAGGAUUAGAUACCCUCGUAGUCCAUGCCGUAAACGAUGUGUGUUAGACGUUGGAAAUUUAUUUUCAGUGUCGCAGCGAAAGCGAUAAACACACCGCCUGGGGAGUACGACCGCAAGGUUAAAACUCAAAUGAAUUGACGGGGACCCGCACAAGUAGUGGAGCAUGUGGUUUAAUUCGAAGAUACGCGCAGAACCUUACCAACACUUGACAUGUUCGUCGCGACUCUAAGAGAUUAGAGU